RNAcentral lists this long non-coding RNA (8367 nucleotides) under Fragaria vesca (wild strawberry). RNAcentral's name for it is "long non-coding RNA (FVES_LNC001175)". Lineage: Eukaryota; Viridiplantae; Streptophyta; Magnoliopsida; Rosales; Rosaceae. The record is from RNAcentral.
GUGCCCCCCGCUUCGUGUUCUUAUUUGUAAUCCAUUUUUCUUGGAGCAAAUUACAGCUGCUUGAACAUGAGAUUCAUCAAAAGGAGUUAUGAUGGCCUCUGGUUUUGGUGUGGAAUUGUUCGAGAAUCUGAGGUUCUGUAUGGAAGAAUCUAACACUGAAGGAUAAGCUGAACUGGUUCUGGUGAGAAUGAUUUCAUUACUGGAGUUAGAGUUCUGAAUGUGGGAGGAAAGGCAUUGAACAAAGCUUUCAGAAAUGGAGCUUGAAGCUAUGGACCAAGCUGAGUUGAGAAGGAUGAAAAGUAGGGGAAAUAGCUUUGCAUGAGAGGUCUCCAUAUUCAUUUCCUCAGCAUAAAAGAUGUGAAAUGCUCUGAGCUUUACAUACAUACAUAUAUGUGUGCGUGAACUUACAUUCAUUUGAAGUCCAAUGAAGACAAGUCAAUGCCGUAUGCUUCUGUCUUUCUCUUUGUUUUCCUAUCAGUUUGAGGAAAAUUCCACAAGUGACUUGUCAAUAAUUUACAAUACGUAAGGCAAUAAAUAAAAGACGGACAGCUAAACUCUACUUUUCGUAAGACGUUGUUCAAUGAAUUGAAAUGUCAAUUCUCUCAUCUAUGUUAUCUAGUGCAUGGAGGUUUUCAUCAGAAUUCAAAUGAGAUUUGUUUUCUAGUAUAUUGACUAAUGUAUGCUUAUGAAUAUGGAUAUAUACAAUACUGAAUGAAAUUGAAGAAGACUAACAUUCAAAUACUGAUGCUGAUUAUGUAGCUCAAUCUAAUGUUAUAUAUUAUUGUCCGUAAAUAAACAAGAAAACCAUCUAGAACACAGCUGCUUCUGUAUUGUCAUAUGGUACGUCAAGCUUAUUUGUUGGUUAAGGCAGCCAUGGCCAGAUUAUAUCGUCUGCCUCUUCUGCACAUUGGUGGAGAAAAAUGCCUGGAAGAACAGUAAACAUAUGAAAUCGUAUUCUACUUUUGGCCUAUUUAUUGUUUUCUUCUCUCGGCCAAAGCUGAUUAAUUUAUUUUUUAGUCUUAUUUUCCCCUAGUUGUACUUGGGAACACAGGGAUGCUUUGUUCAUUUCUAAAGAAGUUAGAAGGAAUCAAGGAUCAACCAGGAUCUUAACAUAAACAAGUCUCCUAAAAUUGUUUUUGAAAUACUUCAAACCCCAAAUGCUUACUUUUGCAUGCGUAGCUUGUAUUGCCAUCAUUGAUGUUCCUUCUCACGUCAAGAUCCUGUUAUUCAAAUGGACACCUCUUGAGGGCUAAGAAACAUAUUGGUGUCAUGUAUGCAUAUAAACUACGAAGCUGAAGAACAAUGGCAAACUAAAAGGAAAGAAGAUCCUUGAAUGACAUCGGCUCUGGGGAUGACAUUGUAUUGGAUAUAUCAGUAAAUAACUCAUUCCUGCACAAUGGCUUCUGCAAUGUUCAGUUUGUCAAAUACUACAAACUGCUGCAUUCUGAGAGAGUGAUCUGCUUACUUGUUUUAGUAUCUUGUUCUAGGUAAAGCGGGGAAUCAAGGCUUAUGUUGAUAUUGCUAACAAUUCAUUUUCAACUAUAAAUCUGUCCACUGCACAGGAAUAUUCUUUCAUUAUAUUUCCAACCACCACGCCAGAACCAACAUUUAUUUGUAUAUAUCAUUCGAACAGACAUAAUAUGAGCACGUUUGUUACACCACGGGAUGGGAGUCAUGGGACGGGACACACGGUGUUAUAAUAAGAAUAAGAAUUAAAUUCAGUUUACCCCAUGAGGUUUGAGAGUAACUUCAUGUUAAUCCCUAUACUUUCAAUUUCAUCAGUUUACCCCUCAAAUUUUUGAAUUUCCCUCAACCGUGACCAAUGUCUCAUCUUCUGUCCAAAUCAGACGUUAAUUGCUGACGUGGACCCAAUCUCAUGAGUUAAAUUAUGUUUGUACCCGAAGCUUAGAAAAUUUUCAACUUAGUUAGGGAUAAAAAGGAAUGAUUUUUUAAUUUUUUUUUCACUAGUUUUUUUGUUAAAUGACAAUUUUAACCUUAACAAUGGGGCUCGUAUCUAGAAUUAACGAUCAAUUCAAACAAAAUAUAAGAAUUUGGUCACGACAGACAAAAAUUAAAGAGUUCAGGGGGUAAACGGAUGAAAUUAAAAGUGUAGGGAUUAACAUAAAGUUACCCUCAAACCAUAAGAGGGUAAACUGAAUUUAAUUCUAAGAAUAAACCCAUGUUUGGCACAAGGACUGGGUUUAAUGUGCAUACAGAGUCCCUGAUACCACUCCACACCGUCUUCCAUAGCGGUCCCAAAAUUGGUGGAUUCUGCUUGUCUGCUUGGGUAAGCAUUUGCUUGGAUUUGCUUGGAUUCACCGAUUGGUCACACGUCAUUUACGUACAAUCUAAUGGACAAUAAUCAAGAAGUCCAAAACACAAAUCUUACACCACACAUAGCGUAUCUCUCUUCCUGCUGAAGAGAUUGAGAUGGGCAUGGUAUUUGACUAUUUGGCGGUGGUUCGGCGAAUGUUGUAUGAGACUUGAAGUAAUGAGAGACUAGUAUCCGGCGAGAGGUGAGCGUCGCCGGAAGCUUGAGUUAUGACAUUGAAGGCCCAGAAGAAGCAGAUUGGACUGCAAACUAGGCAACCGCGAAUAAAGGAGGACUGGGUUGUUGAUCGAAGGGGAGAUGUGAGUAUCAGGAGAUGAUUAUUGCGAUACUGAAUGGCUGGGUUGCAUAAUGGGGAUCUGAUUUGGGUUUAAUUGAAAUUGGGUGGCCAUUGCUUCGUAUCGAAUCGGACCCGAAAGCUAAAAACCGGAUGACGAUGGUUUUGAUUAUGAUAAUAAUCGUUUACGUAUCUUACAUCCUCAUGGAGAUGCAAGGUAGUUCAUACAUACAAUUGAUGUCAUAUAUCUGAGUUUAUGAGGAUAUGAUCAACAGAGCAAGUGGUUGCAUCUGGAACCAGAAAAGAGAAAGAAAAAAGAGCAAGAGGAAGAGGAUGGAGUUGCCAAAGGCUGAUCUGGUGUGGCAGGGUAACUUUUGUGUUUUGGUCCUCUUUAAUUCGUGUCCAUUGGAUUGCUCAGAGAUGACGUGUCAUCCUGUGAGUGAUGUCCAAGUAGAUCCAAGCAAAUACUUGUCUAAGCAGAUAAGCCGAAUCCAAAAUUGGUGGGUUCGUGGAAACCCUUUGUGUUUUGACGCUGAGUGCAUCUUUAGUAAACUUUUUAUUUUGAUUUUUUAGCUAUUUUAGAGAGCGUGUUUAGUUUUUCUGGAUGUUUUAGGAGCUCCAGCAUAAUAGUCAAACUUGAGCUAUAUUUAGCUAGCGAGAUAAUUUAAAUGAGACUAAUUAUAAUUUAUUACAUUCUUUUAAGAUAUUUUAGGUGAUAUAUAAAUACAUUUAAACUAUUUAAUCUUUAUUUGAAGAAUAAUAUUAAUGUAAUGCUAGAUAAAAUAGAAAACAUUGAUACAUACACAUUUCUAAAGUGACUAGUCAAAAUAAAUUUGACAAAAAUUUAAUUCAAUUAUGGCUAGCAUUGCUAAAGAUGCUCUGAAAACUUAUUUCUCUUCUUCUCCUCGCCUCGGCCUCAUUGAUCUCUCUCAUUCUUCUUUAAAUUUCUUCUCUAAUCGAAUCCUUAUCUUCUCUCAAAUUGGGUUUUUGCAGAUCGUGACUCCAUCUGAGAUUGGAUUUUCGUGAAUUGGGACUCCAUUUCAGAUUGGAGAUUUGCAAAUUGUGACUCCAUCUCAGAUUGGGAAUUCGCAAUCUCGACUCCAUCUCUGAUUUGCUAAGAAUUAUGUUUGAUUUGGUGUAUGGGUGGCUUGAAAUGGUAAGAAUUGAGAUCAUUAUCAUGUUUUUGCUUUUCUGUUUCUUUUUCUUUUCUUUUCUUUUCUUUUUUGGCCUUGUUUGGUUGGCAGGAAACCAUGAUAUGGGAAAUAAAUUAAUUUGGUUUUCCAUUUCAAGAGGUUGAUUGGUUGUACAUAGAGACAAGAAAGGAAACAAAAAAAGAGAUGGAAAUUGACUUCCUCAUAAAACCUGAAUUCAAUUACUUUGUCAAGAGGUGGUAUUCCAAUUCCAUUCCCAUUGUCAAAGCCACAAUUACGAGAAAAUUUUAAGUGCUACGAGAGGACCACAUGGCAGUCUGAUGUGGUCCUACAUUCUAAUCAAAUUUAGAUAUGUGGAUUUUUUACAACUAAAAUUUUAACUAAUAUUUUCUAUUUUUUGUGAAAUGACAUUCAUAGGUAUUUAGCAAGUUCAACCUGGGGUUUAGGGUAUAGGGUUUAGGGUUAGGGUUUAAGGGUUUAGGGAUUAGGGUUUAGUAUUUAAAAAACAACAUAAAACCCAAAAUAGUCUUUGACAAAAUAGCUGAAAUAAUUUUUCAUGAAGAAAAUGCACAUGUCUAAAUUUAAUUGGAAUGUAGAACCACGUCAGACUGUCACAUAGUCCUCCCGUAACAUUGAAAAAUUUCUCCACAAUUACAUAAAUUAUCCUCUAAUAAAUUUUAAUGUUGUGCGUAUUUAGAAAUUAUAAAGGGACAUUAUUGAAAAAUAAAACUUUAUAUUUCAUUAUAAUGACUUACCAAAUAUUACAAUAGGAAUUAAAAUACUUGAUUUCAUCAUUUAAUUUCCAAUAUGUACCAAACAUCCAUAUGGAAAUACCAAAACAUAUUCUAUUCCAUAUCUGUUUUGGAAAGGAAAAUACAUUUAUGUCUCAUUUUUACUUUCUUGCUAACCAAACGGGGCAAAUGUAUCUGUUUAAGGAAAGUUUUGUUCAACAUUAUGAUGUGGUUAGGUAUUUGUUUUUUUAGAUAGAUGUUGAAUGUUGUUAAUUGUUGAUCAUCAGUUUGUUGUAGAAAUUUUUUUCUUUCUUCUGCAUACUUCUUUCUUCUGCAUACUGAAUUAGUCCAAAGCUUUAAAAUAUUACCAAACGUGAGUCAGGCAUCUUAUGGAAAUAAGUUAGGCUUGAGGAAAGCUGGACUCUUGUAGAAGUUAAGCAUGUCUAAGAAAGUCAUGUGUAACAAACGUGCCCUAUAUGAGUUGAUCAUAGAAACAAUACAUCCAACACAUUAUUUACUUGAUCAUUGAAUGCAAAUACACCAUGAUUGAUAAAGGUUUCCCUCAAGCCCUCAGCUCUCUUCACAUAUUGCCAAAUUGAUUCACUUUUUCAAAACUUGAGAAUGGCAACACUGGGUUUCAUUAUUACUAGCCUUUUACCCGUGCAUAUUUGCACGGAAUGACGAUCACGAACACCUAAAAAUAAUCGUGAACAGUUAAAUAAGUUUAACAUAUUAUACAGUUAUACGGCCUACUAACUGAUAGUUUUUUUUUUUUGAAUAACGAGAGCUUGAAUGGCAGACCUCACGCCAUAACCAUUAAUAAAACCUCAGAAUACAAGGGGGGACAUUGUGCCUAAACCCUAUACUAUAACAACCUAAAAUAAUAUAGGUAUGUCUACAAAUUCUAUGCAUUCUAACAAACACCAUUUAACAAAGAAUGCAUUAUUGAUUACUCUAUUUGCUUUAUAAUUUUGACGACAAACUGGAAAAAUACUGCUAAAAAAGAGUCAUAAGUUAUCAUGUCUAUCAGCUUUCUAGCUAUGAUGCCACUAAAAAUUAUCAGUAAUCCUAAAUUUCCUCAUGCCACUAGAUGGUUGCGACAAUUUGACAAAAUAAAGAACUCACCGCCUCAUUACGGCAAACAUGGCACGAUGCGUGCGCUUACCAGAACAUAGCCCACCAGUAUCUAAAAUAACCAGACAAAAACCAAAAAGAGCAACCUACUUGUGACUUAUAAGAAACUGAUGACUUAUUUCAGCUGCUAACCAAACGAAACUAGGAAACUAAAAAACUUGACCAAAAUAAUAAUAAAAACCCAAAUCCAGGCCAAAUCCAGGCCUUGAAGCCCACUGUCGAAUAGAAGCCCACUAGCCCACAAAUUCUGGCCCAAAGCAGCAACUGCACCCCUUUCUCUUUCCCGCCGCCGUGAAGAAGCCGGCGCCGUCCUUGUCCGAUUCCCACCACUCCUCCUGUCGCCCUCCACCUUAUCUCGUGUCCAGAUUGACCCCCACACCAUGUCCACCACAAACCAACUCUCCCCCCGCCGAACUCCGAUCAAGACCACGUACACAUCCACUCCACCUAGGUAGAUCCAAACCCCAAAUAGAAAUUAGAUCGCCGCCAGCAAUCCUCCAUCGACGACUGCUGGACACCGUCCCUCUCCUACCCAGAGUCGCGACCACCCCGAUCUCCCACCACUGAACCGUCACCAUCUCAUACGCCGCUGCCGACUUCAGCCAAAAGAGCCGUCUGGAACCUCCACCCGAUCGCAGCCUCAGCACGCUAGACUCACCCACACAACACACAUCCCAUCCGACCACCCAAAGCCAACGCUGAAGAGGCUGGAGGCCAUCCCCAAAGCCCUGGAGCAGCCGGACAGGCAAAGGAAUGGCCGGCGGCGCGAUCAAACCCGGACAGGCGAGGGUAUUGAGAGAGAGAGAGUUUUUAUUUUUUUUUAUGAUUAUCUAUUUAUUUAAUCAUUUUAAUUUUAUUUGUAAACUUAUUAUUUUAAUUUGUUUCACGAUUAGUUCUCAUUUUAGAUGAUGAGAUGUGUUAAUAAUAACACAAAAAAUGUGUGUUAAUAACACUAGCCUUAAUUAUAAUAACUCUUAUUUUUGUUUGUAUUAAUUGAUUUAUUAAAGAUGAUAAUAAAAGUUCACAAUUUGGUAAACGUUUUAGGAGAGCCUGAUUUUAUAAUAAAGAUUAACAUUGAUUUUAUAGUAAAGAUUAACAUUGAAUGAGAAAUUAAACCGAAGUCCGAUCCUUCUAUUUAUUGUUUGUUUUGGAACCUAAGCCCAUUGGUUGACAUUCUACUACUUUCUACCUGAUGAAAACACUGGGAAGCUUUGCUCAUUCCUAAAGAAGUUGCCAGGAUCAACCAAGGUCUUAACAUGAACAAGUCUCCUAAAGUUGUUCUUGAAGUACUUCGAACCCCAAAUGCUUGCUUGUGCAUAGCUUGUAUUGCCAUCACUGUUCCUACCCAGAUCAAGAUCCCUAUAAUUCAGAUAGGCAGCUCUAGGAGAUUUUGAAACAUACGGUGCCAUGUAUGCAUACAACCUUCUCAUAAACCUAACAUACUUCUGAGUAUCCUUGCCAUCACCCCAAGUAACCAUAUACUGGAUUUUAUAUAUGUUUCCUUGUCGAUGUGGGAAAGCUGUUUCUGAAUCGGAAAUCUCACUCAUUUUUCCUCCAUAUGGUGUCAAUAUCAAAUAGGAUGUGUUUGCUUCAAGCAACCUCUGCCAUAAGCCUUCCAAGCCAGCUUCUGAGAUGGGUUUAGUCACAUAGUCUGAUUUUGCUUUGUAGAAGAGGCUGAAUUGCUGGCGCUUCAGCAAAAUUUCUAAGGAUUCGUGAAUAGAGUAGCCAGCAAAGUCUAAAACAGAUUGAAUCCAACUCAUCUCGGUGCAAUGGCUUCUUUUUAAACUCAACUCUGGGAAAUUGUCCUGCAUCAGUUGGAGAAGUGUCUCAACCGGGCCAAGAAACAAGGAACCGAAUUCAACUGUAAUAGUGUUGCCACCGCUUCCUAUAACUGAAUGUAGAAAAAGUUCUUCAGGAAGCUUGUCUGCAAUGUUUUGCCAUUUCAAAAGAAGUUUGGUUGCGCCUUGUUCUUUUGUCUUUGAAAUGUCGCAAACUGUUACAGUAGGGGGAACAGGAACCAGUCUAAGUUUCAAUGCUAGAAUGACUCCAAAGCUUGAUCCUCCUCCUCCUCUAAUAGCCCAAAAUAGCCCUUCUCCCAUGGAUUUUCUAUCUAGAAUUCUGCCAUUAACAUCUACAAUUCUGGCAUCAAUGACAUUGUCAGAUGCUAGACCAUAUUUUCGAAAUAUGGUUCCAAAUCCACCUCCACUGAUAUGUCCCCCAACACCAACGGUGGGACAAGACCCUGCUGGAAAGCCAUAGACUUUACUCUUCUGUGCAAUGCUGUAAUACACCUCUCCAAGAGUGGCACCUGAUUUGACCCAAGCACUCUCAUUCUCUAUGUCAACAUCGAUGGAACGAAGAUUGAACAGAUCAAUGAUGAUGAAAGGAGCUCUGGACACAUAAGAUAGGCCCUCGUAAUCGUGCCCCCCGCUUCGGCUUCUUAUUUGUAGGCCAUUUUUCUUGGAGCAAAUUACAGCUGCUUGAACAUGAGAUUCAUCAAAAGGAGUUAUGAUGGCCUCUGGUUUUGGUGUGGAAUUGUUCGAGAAUCUGAGGUUCUGUAUGGAAGAAUCUAACACUGAAGGAUAAGCUGAACUGGUUCUGGUGAGAAUGAUUUCAUUACUGGAGUUAGAGUUCUGAAUAUGGGAGGAAAGGCAUUGCACAAAGCUUUGAGAAAUGGAGCUUGAAGCUAUGGACCAAGCUGAGUUUAGAAGGAUGAAAAGUAGAGGAAAUAGCUUUGCAUGAGAG